CGAAUGGGGGAACCCAGUACACAUCAGUGUAUUGCUUGUCAGUGAAUACAUAGCUGGCCGGCGGCAGACGCGGGGAACUGAAACAUCUCAGUACCCGCAGGAAGAGAAAGAAAACUCGAUUCCCAUAGUAGCGGCGAGCGAAGUGGGAAGAGCCCAAACCGAGAAGCUUGCUUCUCGGGGUUGUAGGACUGGACAUUGGAGUUACCAAAGUCCGACGUAGUCGAAGUCAGCUGGAAAGCUGCGCCACAGAAGGUGAAAGCCCUGUAAGCGAAACGUCGAACCCUCCGUCCAGGAUCCUGAGUACGGCGGAACACGUGAAAUUCCGUCGGAAUCCGGGAGGACCAUCUCCCAAGGCUAAAUACUCCCUAGUGACCGAUAGUGAACCAGUACCGUGAGGGAAAGGUGAAAAGUACCCCGGAAGGGGAGUGAAACAGUUCCUGAAACCGUGUGCCUACAAUUAGUCAAAGCCCGUUAAUGGGUAAUGGCGUGCCUUUUGUAGAAUGAACCGGCGAGUUACGUUUGCUUGCGAGGUUAAGAUGAAAAGUCGGAGCCAUAGCGAAAGCGAGUCUGAACAGGGCGAAUGAGUAAGCAGAUGUAGACCCGAAACCAAGUGACCUACCCAUGACCAGGUUGAAGGUGUGGUGAAACACACUGGAGGACCGAACCCAUGUAUGUUGAAAAAUGCUGGGAUGAGUUGUGGGU
Molecule: ribosomal RNA, 702 nt
Filed under: Lacticaseibacillus casei
Lineage: Bacteria; Bacillati; Bacillota; Bacilli; Lactobacillales; Lactobacillaceae
Description: bacterial LSU rRNA
Rfam family: Bacterial large subunit ribosomal RNA
Source: RNAcentral